Molecule: non-coding RNA, 105 nt
Organism: Dentipellis sp. KUC8613
Lineage: Eukaryota; Fungi; Basidiomycota; Agaricomycetes; Russulales; Hericiaceae
Source: the annotation of a GenBank genome assembly
GCCGCGUUGGCGUAGUGGUAGCGCGUCCCACUUGUAGGCGGUUGCGGUGUUCGCACCGAGCCAGCUGACAUGGGAAGGUCAUUCGUUCAAUCCGGGUACGUGGCA